Molecule: ribosomal RNA, 437 nt
Filed under: Stenotrophomonas sp.
Lineage: Bacteria; Pseudomonadati; Pseudomonadota; Gammaproteobacteria; Lysobacterales; Lysobacteraceae
Description: bacterial SSU rRNA
Rfam family: Bacterial small subunit ribosomal RNA
Source: RNAcentral
AGUCGAACGGCAGCACAGGAGAGCUUGCUCUCUGGGUGGCGAGUGGCGGACGGGUGAGGAAUACAUCGGAAUCUACUUUUUCGUGGGGGAUAACGUAGGGAAACUUACGCUAAUACCGCAUACGACCUACGGGUGAAAGCAGGGGAUCUUCGGACCUUGCGCGAUUGAAUGAGCCGAUGUCGGAUUAGCUAGUUGGCGGGGUAAAGGCCCACCAAGGCGACGAUCCGUAGCUGGUCUGAGAGGAUGAUCAGCCACACUGGAACUGAGACACGGUCCAGACUCCUACGGGAGGCAGCAGUGGGGAAUAUUGGACAAUGGGCGCAAGCCUGAUCCAGCCAUACCGCGUGGGUGAAGAAGGCCUUCGGGUUGUAAAGCCCUUUUGUUGGGAAAGAAAUCCAGCUGGCUAAUACCCGGUUGGGAUGACGGUACCCAAAGAA